Molecule: long non-coding RNA, 13992 nt
Filed under: Triticum aestivum (bread wheat)
Lineage: Eukaryota; Viridiplantae; Streptophyta; Magnoliopsida; Poales; Poaceae
Description: long non-coding RNA (TAES_LNC023549)
Source: RNAcentral
CCCACCCGGACUACCACCCCCCUCCCACGCCCACCUACGGCGGCGGUGGCGGCGGCGGUGGAUACCACAGGCACCACUGAGUCAGGUCUACCCCCGUCCUGCCCAGCGAUGAAAUCUCAUCAUCAGCGGGUUGGUGAUCAGUGAGUGGUCGACGGUGCUAAUUAUGAUUGGUUUGCAUGCGUGAGUAUCGUUAGGUCUUCUGCCAUUCCCGCGAAGCCCCGUUUAUUAUCUGCACUGCAGAGUUGGGAGUUCAGAAUAACAGAUGUGCGUGUGUGUGUCGCUGUGUCAGGCAAGUGUGAGGGUGUGUUGGCGUGUUGCUUUAUCAAGAUUUUGUAAUUUCAGUGUGUGUUUUGUAUAAGAAGUUAUUAUGAAUCAAGUAAUUUAAACAAGUCGAUUUGUCAACCGAACAACUGCAGCUGUUCGAGACGAUUGGCAUGAUAAGGAUAGUGUGAUUUUACUUCAACUCAAUUUUCAGAUCCGUGAACUGAAACUGAAGUGAAAUUCAGGCGUGUGCAAUGCAUUCAUACUGCUGGUCAUAGUUUUUUCUCUUACGAUGAACAAGUCGAUUUAUGAACAUUUUUCCUAGAUAAGUGAGGCUUUUAAAAAAUGUUCAUCAUGUGUUCAAAACAAUGAUAACCGUAAAUUUAAAGCAAAAUUGUUCGCCGUGUAUCUUAAAAAUGUUCAUCAUGAAUUUAAAAGGUUUGCCACUAAUUUUAAAAAGUUCAUCAUGUAUUUAUAUCACUAAUUUAGUUAUCUAAACGCUCUUAUAUUAGUUUACAGAGGGAGUAUUUAAAAGUUGUCAUCACGUAAUUAAAAAAAGGUUAAUUGUGCAUUAAUGAAAAUUUUCACCAUGUUUCAGAAAUGUUCAUCAUGUAUUAAUAAACUUAACCUUGUAUUUUUAAAAGUAAAAAAAUGCUCAUUGUGUAUUUAAAACAUAUAAAGAUAUUUUUUUGUAAAUGAACUAAAAAUAUUCAUUCUGUAUUAAAAAAAUAUUCACCAUGAAUUGUUCAAAAAAAUCACCUUGUAUUAUUCAAAAACGCUCAGACACAAAGGACAAAUGCUCAUACACGGUGUGGGGAAAAGGAGAAAAUGCAUAGAGUAAAAGAACAACAAAAGAGGAAAAAUGGACAAUGAAAAAAAAAAGGAAAGAAUGAAGAAUCCAACUAAGAAAAAAAACAGUUCAGAAGCCAAACACAAAAACCAUGCAAAAAGACGCAGCAGGAACCAGCGAACGAAACAACACCCCUAGCUGGCCUGCCCAAGUCACCUUGCUUGUGACUGUCUUCGCAUCCAUUUGACGUGUGUGCGUAUUUGCCGGAGACCUCCUAUUCCCUGACCUACGCGGGGAAAAGUGAGGAAACAUGCACCUAAACCUGUGGGUAGCCCGACCCGAGCCUGGCCCGAAAAAUCCAGGCCACGCUGGGGCCUUGUUUUGCAGCCCAAUGUACAUUUCGCCUAGGCUCGGGCUUUUGUAACAAUACUGAGAAAUAGUAUUUGGUCGGGCUUUCAAUAUUCAGGUCGGGCUUACAACUAACAACAUUGAUAAACACCAUUCGAGCUAGACUUUCGGGCUUCGGGCCUAUAUUUGGCUGAGGCUCGAGCUUGAGAAAGUGUGUACUUUCGGGAUUUGGACCAGCUGGGGCUUGAAGUUUGGGUUUCUGGCUUUUUGAAGCCCAGCCCGCCAUAUAAUCAGGUUUAAGUGCACCCCCGCCCCCCACGCGUGCUUUUGGCCGGCCCAUAUGCGGGGUGAGCCGGGCUUAUUAUUAUUAUUUUUGCUUUUGUACUUUCGUUCUUUCUCAAUUGCAAGAAAUGUUCAUAAAAUAAGCAUAUGUUUGCACAUUUCUCAAAGUGCUUCAAAUUUUCAAAAUAUUAUAUGAUUUAAAUUCUUCAUAAAUUGAAAAUUUUCUUGAAUUUCAGAAAAUGUUCAUGAAUUGUAAAAUUGUUCCCCUAGUUCACAAAUUAUUCAUGUAUUUGAAAGUCCAUGGAUUCGAAAAUUGCUCGCGAAUUUGAGAAUGGAAUAAUAGAGUGAGUAUAGCAAUUGAUAUCUAUAGAUACUUUGCGAGGUUUAUAUCAUUAAAUUUAGAAAUGAUGUCAUUAUCACGACAUGUAUUGGAUGUCCUUUUUUCACUAGUUAAUAUCCAUAAAAUAUCAUGUUAGAUGACCGAUUUUUCAUAAUAUAACAUUUAUUGUGAAUCAAAAACCAGAAAGCAAGAAUCCUGCAAAGAAAAUGUAACACAUAAUCCUAGAGAGCGCCUUACACAUCUCAUUUCUAAGUGUGUUUACUUAUAAUUUGGUAAACAUAAGUCCAAGCAAAUCAAAGAAAAUCAAAGUACAGAGAAUACCUACAUACCAUGGCCCAUUGACCGGUCCACACAAUUGACUGCUUUAAUGUGACCCAUCAAAGACACUCAGAGCUUCAAAGGUGAACUGUUCUUUGAUCCAGGCUUUGGUUGGCACCGUAAAGAAUGCAAAAUAACAGCUCAAAUAUUUGUAUCAGCAAAAGAUCAAACAACUGAAAUAAGAAGCACAGAGCACAUGAGCAAGGAACAUAAAUGUUGUUAAUAAAACAAGAAAAAAACUAAGAUACACUUGUGUCACUCGCAACUCACUAACUCAUCACAAAUUCUUCAUACGAGCAAAAUAACACUACUAGGGACAAAGCAGGGCUUCGAUUUUCUUGCACAACAGCUAACAGUUAGAGUUUUUAAUUCAUGUUUACCCAAUAAUUCUCCACAAUUCCUCACAUAGUUUCUAGUUCAACCAUUACUGGUAUGUAAAUAGACAAGAUUAGAUCGAUACUAAAAUUUGCAUUACGCUAUCGACGAAUGACGGCUCAAUUUUAUCUCCACAUAGAUGACACAAGAAUCUCAUUUGAGCAGUUGGUCACAAUGCAUACUAGCAUACUAAUGUUUCCAAUCGAACCGCAGCCAGAAACUUAGAACGACUUAUCCAACUUCUACCACCAAAUCAAAUUCAUAAUAUGAUGUUGCCUCCACGUUCCACGAUCCCGGUAGGUACAUCCAUGCACUUUCCACAUGCGAGAUGCGAUGAAGAUGUGAGAUGUGGCCAAAGAUUUGGGAUGUUGUAAACAUAUCUACGAGAUAUUUUUUUCUCUAUGUAUACCUAAUAGUUUACUAGAAGCCGCUAUCAGGAUAUUUCUGACUUUAAAAGACACACACACACAGAGAGAGAGAGAUAUACGUAUAUACUAUGGUCAUGUGAGUGUCACAAAUUAAUCCAUGAAACAUGCAAUUUUAUGUAGUCUAUUUUCUUAUGGUUAGAGGGGUUAAGUUUAAGUAUUAUUUUAUGGUGCAAUCUAUUGAAUAGAAAGAAACUAAUCAAAUUUAGCGUAGGGCGUGCAUAUAUUUUAAUGACACACAUUACAACCUAGCAGAAAAUAAUAUUAUUUAUAUUGAGCAUAAUUAUCGUAAGUAAAUAUAAAAAAGAAGUAACCGCUCGCAGUUAAUAGUGAGUUUUAAACAUGUAUAAAAGUUUAAUAUAAAUAUUCAAUUUAAUUAGACUCGAUUUCUUGUCACCGCCCUAGAUUCAUGUUUGUAAUUAGUGGCAUUGCAUCCAUGCAUCAUGUCUAAUUUUAUCAGAAAUUUGAAUUGAGGGAAUUUUCAAAACCUCAGAAACAUUUUAGAAAUUAUCAACACUAAAAUCUUCUCAAAUAAGUCCAAGAAAAUGUUCCUGUUAUUUUAUGAAAAUAUUGGAAAGAGGUAAAAUUAAAACCAGUGUUUUUGGAUUGUCAGAAAUAUUUAUUUUGGGAAUUUGAGUUAAUCUAAUAAUUAUUUGCAUUAGACUUAUAUUUAUUAUAUAUUAAAUAUUGGUCCAAAAAAUUUGAAAGUUUGUAUGAGGCUCUGGACUAGUUCCCUAAGUCCACAUAUUGAAUUUCAGAAGUUUAUAAAGUGAUUUGGUAGUUAAACCAAAUCAAACAAACAGAACAAAAUGGAAAACAAAAACAGAAAGGGAAGAACAGAGAGAGAGAGAGAGAGUUUACCUGGCAGCCCACUUACCCGGCCCAACUCCUCUAGCCGGCCCAGCCUACCUGGCUCUGCCAGUCGUCCUCUACCUCGUGCCAGAGGGCACGAGGGCGUGUGGCCGCCGCCCACGCGUACGCACCGCGCCACCUCCUGCUUGCCGCUUCGCUCUGGCCCUCUCUGGACGUCGACACGUAGCCCCCUGGUCCUCUCCCUCGCUCCCCUCGUCCUUCCCCUCCUCUGGAUCCCUCUCUCUCUCUCACCACCGAGCGGGGCUCAUCGCCACCGACGCCGUUCACCGUAGCCACCGCCUCCUCCUGAACCUCUCUCCGCGCCCAGAAGCUCCGCCACUUCGUCCUCGACCCCCUCGCUGAGCCACGCAACGCCGGACGCCCUGAAGCCUCGCCAACACCGUCGUUCCCCUCGUCGGUCACCGCGGAUCCUCGCCGUUGAUUCAGGAGCUACAGGACCUCCCCGAGCACUCUGAGCUUCUCUACAAGUCCUCCGUGAGCCCCUCUUUCCCCUACCCUAACCUCGUUGCUUCGCUCGACCUCUAGCUAGCGCUGCCGCCAUGGCCGAGCUCCGCCGCCGCCUGCCUUGUCAUGCGCCACCAUUGCAGCCCGCGCCCGUCGUUGGAGAGCAUGGCAACGAGCUCGUCGUGCCUCCAGGAGGCCGGCUAUCCCUUUUGCUAGCUCGCCCGUGCCCCGUAGCACCGCUGCCCGCUUGCGCCCGAACUCCGGCCGCCGCCCAAGUGGUCGCCGCCGUCGACCCCGGCCUCCCUGCGCCUAGCUGCAUGCACCCCUGGAUGCGGGCGAGCGAGGGCUUCCUCAUGGUGCCCUGCUACCUCUUGAGCACUGCGUUGGUUUUCCCUAGAAAAGGAAAGGGUGAUGCAGCAAAGUGGCGUAAGUAUUUCCCUCAGUUUUUGAAAACCAAGGUAUCAAUCCAGUAGGAGGCUACACACGAGUCCCUCGCACCUACACAAACGAAUAAAUCCUCGCAACCAACAUGAUAAGGGGUUGUCAAUCCCUACACGGUCACUUACGAGAGUGAGAUCUGAUAGAUAUGAUAAGAUAAUAUUUUUGGUAUUUUUGUGAUAAAGAUGCAAAGUAAAGAAAGUAAAAUAAAAACGGCGCUAGAAAUAGCUAAGUGUUGGAAGAUUAAUAUGAUGGAAAAUAGACCCGGGGGCCAUAGGUUUCACUAGUGGCUUCUCUCGAGAGCAUAAGUAUUUACGGUGGGUGAACAAAUUACUGUUGAGCAAUUGACAGAAUUGAGCAUAGUUGUGAGAAUAUCUAGGCAUGAUCAUGUAUAUAGGCAUGACGUCCGAAACAAGUAGACCGACUCCUGCCUGCAUCUACUACUAUUACUCCACACAUCGACCGCUAUCCAGCAUGCGUCUAGAGUAUUAAGUUCAUAAGAACAGAGUAACGCUUUAAGCAAGAUGACAUGAUGUAGAGGGAUAAACUCAUGCAAUAUGAUAUAAACCCCAUCUUGUUAUCCUCGAUGGCAACAAUACAUUACGUGCCUUGCUGCCCCCACUGUCACUGGAAAAGGACACCGCAAGAUUGAACCCAAAGCUAAGCACUUCUCCCAUUGCAAGAAAGAUCAAUCUAGUAGGCCAACCCAAACUGAUAAUUCGAAGAGACUUGCAAAGAUAACCAAUCAUACAUAAAAGAAUUCAGAAGAUUCAAAUAUUGUUCAUAGAUAAGCUUGAUCAUAAACCCACAAUUCAUCGGUCUCCACAAACACAUCACAAAAGAAGAUUACAUCGAAUAGAUCUCCACAAGAGAGGGGGAGAACAUUGUAUUGAGAUCGAAAAAGAGAGAAGAAGCCAUCUAGCUAAUAACUAUGGACCCGAAGGUCUGAGGUAAACUACUCACACUUCAUCGGAGAGCCUAUGGUGUUGAUGUAGAAGCCCUCCGUCAUCGAUGCCCCCUCCGGCGGAGCUCCGAAACAGGCCCCAAGAUGGGAUCUCACGAAUACAGAAGGUUGCGGCGGUGAAAUUAGGUUUUUAGCUGCGUAUCUGAUCGUUUGGGGGUACGUAGCUAUAUAUAGGAGGAAGGAGUACGUCGGUGGAGCAACGUGGGGCCCACGAGGGUGGAGGGCGCGCCCAGGGGGUAGGAGCGCCCCCUACCUCGUGGCUUCCUGGUAGCUUUCUUGACGUAGGGUCCAAGUCAUCUGGAUCAUGUUUGUUCCGAAAAUCACGUUUCCGAAGGUUUCAUUCCGUUUGGACGCCGUUUGAUAUCCUGCGAAACUCUGAAAUAGGCAAAAACAGCAAUUCUGGGCUGGGCCUCCGGUUAAUAGGUUAGUCCCAAAAAUAAUAUAAAAGUGCAUAAUAAAGCCCAAUAAUGUCCAAAACAGAAGAUAAUAUAGCAUGGAGCAAUCAAAAAUUAUAGAUACGUUGGAGACGUAUCAAGCAUCCCCAAGCUUAAUUCCUGCUCGUCCUCGAGUAGGUAAAUGAUAAAAACAGAAUUUUUGAUGUGGAAUGCUACUUGGCAUAAUUUCAAUGUAAUUUUUAUUAAUUGUGGUAUGAAUAUUCAGAUCCGAAAGAUUCAAGAUAAAAGUUCAAUAUUGACAUAAAAAUAAUAAUACUUCAAGCAUACUAACUAAGCAAUUAUGUCCGCAGCAUCGCCGGAGUGCGCGUCCAUGACCCUGUGCGGGCCGAUCAAGAAGCACAUCAUUGAGCACUUCCACCACAAGAAGCCCGUGCCGCCUAAGCCGGAGCUCAAGCCCCAGCCCCACCCGGACUACGGGCCCGUGCCCAAGCCGGAGCCGAAGCCGCAGCCCCACCCGGACUACCACCCCCCUCCCACGCCCACCUACGGCGGCGGUGGCGGCGGCGGUGGAUACCACAGGCACCACUGAGUCAGGUCUACCCCCGUCCUGCCCAGCGAUGAAAUCUCAUCAUCAGCGGGUUGGUGAUCAGUGAGUGGUCGACGGUGCUAAUUAUGAUUGGUUUGCAUGCGUGAGUAUCGUUAGGUCUUCUGCCAUUCCCGCGAAGCCCCGUUUAUUAUCUGCACUGUAGAGUUGGGAGUUCAGAAUAACAGAUGUGCGUGUGUGUGUCGCUGUGUCAGGCAAGUGUGAGGGUGUGUUGGCGUGUUGCUUUAUCAAGAUUUUGUAAUUUCAGUGUGUGUUUUGUAUAAGAAGUUAUUAUGAAUCAAGUAAUUUAAACAAGUCGAUUUGUCAACCGAACAACUGCAGCUGUUCGAGACGAUUGGCAUGAUAAGGAUAGUGUGAUUUUACUUCAACUCAAUUUUCAGAUCCGUGAACUGAAACUGAAGUGAAAUUCAGGCGUGUGCAAUGCAUUCAUACUGCUGGUCAUAGUUUUUUCUCUUACGAUGAACAAGUCGAUUUAUGAACAUUUUUCCUAGAUAAGUGAGGCUUUUAAAAAAUGUUCAUCAUGUGUUCAAAACAAUGAUAACCGUAAAUUUAAAGCAAAAUUGUUCGCCGUGUAUCUUAAAAAUGUUCAUCAUGAAUUUAAAAGGUUUGCCACUAAUUUUAAAAAGUUCAUCAUGUAUUUAUAUCACUAAUUUAGUUAUCUAAACGCUCUUAUAUUAGUUUACAGAGGGAGUAUUUAAAAGUUGUCAUCACGUAAUUAAAAAAAGGUUAAUUGUGCAUUAAUGAAAAUUUUCACCAUGUUUCAGAAAUGUUCAUCACGUAUUAAACUUAACCAUGUAUUUUUAAAAGUAAAAAAUGCUCAUUGUGUAUUUAAAACAUAUAAAGAUAUUUUUUUGUAAAUGAACUAAAAAUAUUCACCAUGAAUUGUUCAAAAAAUUCACCUUGUAUUAUUCAAAAACGCUCAGACACAAAGGACAAAUGUUCAUACACGGUGUGGGGAAAAGGAGAAAAUGCAUAGAGUAAAAGAACAACAAAACAGGAAAAAUGGACAAUGAAAAAAAAAGGAAAGAAUGAAGAAUCCAACUAAGAAAAAAAACAGUUCAGAAGCCAAACACAAAAACCACGCAAAAAGACGCAGCAGGAACCAGCGAACGAAACAACACCCCUAGCUGGCCUGCCCAAGUCACCUUGCUUGUGACUGUCUUCGCAUCCAUUUGACGUGUGUGCGUAUUUGCCGGAGACCUCCUAUUCCCUGACCUACGCGGGGAAAAGUGAGGAAACAUGCACCUAAACCUGUGGGUAGCCCGACCCGAGCCUGGCCCGAAAAAUCCAGGCCACGCUGGUGCCUUGUUUUGCAGCCCAAUGUACAUUUCGCCUAGGCUCGGGCUUUUGUAACAAUACUGAGAAAUAGUAUUUGGUUGGGCUUUCAAUAUUCAGGUCGGGCUUACAACUAACAACAUUGAUAAACACCAUUCGAGCUAGACUUUCGGGCUUGGGGCCUAUAUUUGGCUGAGGCUCGAGCUUGAGAAAGUGUGUACUUUCGGGAUUUGGACCAGCUGGGGCUUGAAGUUUGGGUUUCUGGCUUUUUGAAGCCCAGCCCGCCAUAUAAUCAGGUUUAAGUGCACCCCCGCCCCCCAUGCGUGCUUUUGGCCGGCCCAUAUGCGGGGUGAGCCGGGCUUAUUAUUAUUAUUUUUGCUUUUGUACUUUCAUUCUUUCUCAAUUGCAAGAAAUGUUCAUAAAAUAAUCAUAUGUUUGCACAUUUCUCAAAGUGCUUCAAAUUUUCAAAAUAUUAUAUGAUUUAAAUUCUUCAUAAAUUGAAAAUUUUCUUGAAUUUCAGAAAAUGUUCAUGAAUAGUAAAAUUGUUCCCCUAGUUCACAAAUUAUUCAUGUAUUUGAAAGUCCAUGGAUUCGAAAAUUGCUCGCGAAUUUGAGAAUGGAAUAAUAGAGUGAGUAUAGCAAUUGAUAUCUAUAGAUACUUUGCGAGGUUUAUAUCAUUAAAUUUAGAAAUGAUGUCAUUAUCACGACAUGUAUUGGAUGUCCUUUUUUCACUAGUUAAUAUCCAUAAAAUAUCAUGUUAGAUGACCGAUUUUUCAUAAUAUAACAUUUAUUGUGAAUCAAAAACCAGAAAGCAAGAAUCCUGCAAAGAAAAUGUAACACAUAAUCCUAGAGAGCGCCUUACACAUCUCAUUUCUAAGUGUGUUUACUUAUAAUUUGGUAAACAUAAGUCCAAGCAAAUCAAAGAAAAUCAAAGUACAGAGAAUACCUACAUACCAUGGCCCAUUGACCGGUCCACACAAUUGACUGCUUUAAUGUGACCCAUCAAAGACACUCAGAGCUUCAAAGGUGAACUGUUCUUUGAUCCAGGCUUUGGUUGGCACCGUAAAGAAUGCAAAAUAACAGCUCAAAUAUUUGUAUCAGCAAAAGAUCAAACAACUGAAAUAAGAAGCACAGAGCACAUGAGCAAGGAACAUAAAUGUUGUUAAUAAAACAAGAAAAAAACUAAGAUACGCUUGUGUCACUCGCAACUCACUAACUCAUCACAAAUUCUUCAUACGAGCAAAAUAACACUACUAGGGACAAAGCAGGGCUUCGAUUUUCUUGCACAACAGCUAACAGUUAGAGCUUUUAAUUCAUGUUUACCCAAUAAUUCUCCACAAUUCCUCACAUAGUUUCUAGUUCAACCAUUACUGGUAUGUAAAUAGACAAGAUUAGAUCGAUACUAAAAUUUGCAUUACGCUAUCGACGAAUGACGGCUCAAUUUUAUCUCCACAUAGAUGACACAAGAAUCUCAUUUGAGCAGUUGGUCACAAUGCAUACUAGCAUACUAAUGUUUCCAAUCGAACCGCAGCCAGAAACUUAGAACGACUUAUCCAACUUCUACCACCAAAUCAAAUUCAUAUUAUGAUGUUGCCUCCACGUUCCACGAUCCCGGUAGGUACAUCCAUGCACUUUCCACAUGCGAGAUGCGAUGAAGAUGUGAGAUGUGGCCAAAGAUUUGGGAUGUUGUAAACAUAUGUACGAGAUAUUUUUUUUCUCUAUGUAUACCUAAUAGUUUACUAGAAGCCGCUAUCAGGAUAUUUCUGACUUUUAAAGACACACACACACAGAGAGAUAUACGUAUAUACUAUGGUCAUGUGAGUGUCACAAAUUAAUCCAUGAAACAUGCAAUUUUAUGUAGUCUAUUUUCUUAUGGUUAGAGGGGUUAAGUUUAAGUAUUAUUUUAUGGUGCAAUCUAUUGAAUAGAAAGAAACUAAUCAAAUUUAGCGUAGGGCGUGCACAUAUUUUAAUGACACACAUUACAACCUAGCAGAAAAUACUAUUAUUUAUAUUGAGCAUAAUUAUCGUAAGUAAAUAUAAAAAAGAAGUAACCGCUUGCAGUUAAUAGUGAGUUUUAAACAUGUAUAAAAGUUUAAUAUAAAUAUUCAAUUUAAUUAGACUCGAUUUCUUGUCACCGCCCUAGAUUCAUGUUUGUAAUUAGUGGCAUUGCAUCCAUGCAUCAUGUCUAAUUUUAUCAGAAAUUUGAAUUGAGGGAAUUUUCAAAACCUCAGAAACAUUUUAGAAAUUAUCAACACUAAAAUCUUCUCAAAUAAGUCCAAGAAAAUGUUCCUGUUAUUUUAUGAAAAUAUUGGAAAGAGGUAAAAUUAAAACCAGUAUUUUUGGAUUGUCAGAAAUAUUUAUUUUGGGAAUUUGAGUUAAUCUAAUAAUUAUUUGCAUUAGACUUAUAUUUAUUAUAUAUUAAAUAUUGGUCCAAAAAAUUUGAAAGUUUGUAUGUGGCUCUGGACUAGUUCCCUAAGUCCACAUAUUGAAUUUCAGAAGUUUAUAAAGUGAUUUGGUAGUUAAACCAAAUCAAACAAACAGAACAAAAUGGAAAACAAAAACAGAAAGGGAAGAACAGAGAGAGAGAGAGAGAGUUUACCUGGCAGCCCACUUACCCGGCCCAACUCCUCUAGCCGGCCCAGCCUACCUGGCUCUGCCAGUCGUCCUCUACCUCGUGCCAGAGGGCACGAGGGCGUGUGGCCGCCGCCCACGCGUACGCACCGCGCCACCUCUUGCUUGCCGCUUCGCUCUGGCCCUCUCCGGACGUCGACACGUAGCCCCCUGGUCCUCUCCCUCGCUUCCCUCGUCCUUCCCCACCUCUGGAUCCCUCUCUCUCUCUCACCACCGAGCGGGGCUCGUCGCCACCGACGCCGUUCACCGUAGCCACCGUCUCCUCCUGAACCUCUCUCCGCGCCCAGAAGCUCCGCCACUUCGUCCUCGACCCCCUCGCUGAGCCACGCAACGCCGGACGCCCUGAAGCCUCGCCAACACCGUCGUUCCCCUCGUCGGUCGCCGCGGAUCCUCGCCGUUGAUUCAGGAGCUACAGGACCUCCCCGAGCACUCUGAGCUUCUCUACAAGUCCUCCGUGAGCCCCUCUUUCCCCUACCCUAACCUCGUUGCUUCGCUCGACCUCUAGCUAGCGCUGCCGCCAUGGCCGAGCUCCGCCGCCGCCUGCCUUGUCAUGCGCCACCAUUGCAGCCCGCGCCCGUCGUUGGAGAGCAUGGCAACGAGCUCGUCGUGCCUCCAGGAGGCCGGCUAUCCCUUUUGCUAGCUCGCCCGUGCCCCGUAGCACCGCUGCCCGCUUGCGCCCGAACUCCGGCCGCCGCCCAAGUGGUCACCGCCGUCGACCCCGGCCUCCUGCGCCCAGCUGCAUGCACCCCCUGGAUGCGGGCGAGCGAGGGCUUCCUCAUGGUGCCCUGCUACCUCUUGAGCACUGCGUUGGUUUUCCCUAGAAGAGGAAAGGGUGAUGCAGCAAAGUGGCGUAAGUAUUUCCCUCAGUUUUUGAGAACCAAGGUAUCAAUCCAAUAGGAGGCUACACACGAGUCCCUCGCACCUACACAAACGAAUAAAUCCUCGCAACCAACAUGAUAAGGGGUUGUCAAUCCCUACACGGUCACUUACGAGAGUGAGAUCUGAUAGAUAUGAUAAGAUAAUAUUUUUGGUAUUUUUGUGAUAAAGAUGCAAAGUAAAGAAAGUAAAAUAAAAACGGCGCUAGAAAUAGCUAAGUGUUGGAAGAUUAAUAUGAUGGAAAAUAGACCCGGGGGCCAUAGGUUUCACUAGUGGCUUCUCUCGAGAGCAUAAGUAUUUACGGUGGGUGAACAAAUUACUGUUGAGCAAUUGACAGAAUUGAGCAUAGUUAUGAGAAUAUCUAGGCAUGAUCAUGUAUAUAGGCAUGACGUCCGAAACAAGUAGACCGACUCCUGCCUGCAUCUACUACUAUUACUCCACACAUCGACCGCUAUCCAGCAUGCGUCUAGAGUAUUAAGUUCAUAAGAACAGAGUAACGCUUUAAGCAAGAUGACAUGAUGUAGAGGGAUAAACUCAUGCAAUAUGAUAUAAACCCCAUCUUGUUAUCCUCGAUGGCAACAAUACAUUACGUGCCUUGCUGCCCCCACUGUCACUGGAAAAGGACACCGCAAGAUUGAACCCAAAGCUAAGCACUUCUCCCAUUGCAAGAAAGAUCAAUCUAGUAGGCCAACCCAAACUGAUAAUUCGAAGAGACAUGCAAAGAUAACCAAUCAUACAUAAAAGAAUUCAGAAGAUUCAAAUAUUGUUCAUAGAUAAGCUUGAUCAUAAACCCACAAUUCAUCGGUCUCCACAAACACAUCACAAAAGAAGAUUACAUCGAAUAGAUCUCCACAAGAGAGGGGGAGAACAUUGUAUUGAGAUCGAAAAAGAGAGAAGAAGCCAUCUAGCUAAUAACUAUGGACCCGAAGGUCUGAGGUAAACUACUCACACUUCAUCGGAGAGCCUAUGGUGUUGAUGUAGAAGCCCUCCGUGAUCGAUGCCCCCUCCGGCGGAGCUCCGAAACAGGCCCCAAGAUGGGAUCUCACGAAUACAGAAGGUUGCGGCGGUGAAAUUAGGUUUUUAGCUACGUAUCUGAUCGUUUGGGGGUACGUAGCUAUAUAUAGGAGGAAGGAGUACGUCGGUGGAGCAACGUGGGGCCCACGAGGGUGGAGGGCGCGCCCAGGGGGUAGGAGCGCCCCCUACCUCGUGGCUUCCUGGUAGCUUUCUUGACGUAGGGUCCAAGUCAUCUGGAUCAUGUUUGUUCCGAAAAUCAUGUUUCCGAAGGUUCAUUCCGUUUGGACGCCGUUUGAUAUCCUGCGAAACUCUGAAAUAGGCAAAAAACAGCAAUUCUGGGCUGGGCCUCCGGUUAAUAGGUUAGUCCCAAAAAAUAAUAUAAAAGUGCAUAAUAAAGCCCAAUAAUGUCCAAAACAGAAGAUAAUAUAGCAUGGAGCAAUCAAAAAUUAUAGAUACGUUGGAGACGUAUCAAGCAUCCCCAAGCUUAAUUCCUGCUCGUCCUCGAGUAGGUAAAUGAUAAAAACAGAAUUUUUGAUGUGGAAUGCUACUUGGCAUAAUUUCAGUGUAAUUUUUAUUAAUUGUGGUAUGAAUAUUUAGAUCCGAAAGAUUCAAGAUAAAAGUUCAAUAUUGACAUAAAAAUAAUAAUACUUCAAGCAUACUAACUAAGCAAUUAUGUCCGCAGCAUCGCCGGAGUGCGCGUCCAUGACCCUGUGCGGGCCGAUCAAGAAGCACAUCAUUGAGCACUUCCACCACAAGAAGCCCGUGCCGCCUAAGCCGGAGCUCAAGCCCCAGCCCCACCCGGACUACGGCCCCGUGCCCAAGCCGGAGCCGAAGCCGCAGCCCCACCCAGACUACCACCCCGUCCCUCCCACGCCCACCUACGGUAGCGGUGGCGGCGGUGGUGGAUACCACGGGCACCACUGAGUCAGUUCUACCCCCGUCCUGCCCAGCGAUGAAAUCUCAUCAUCAGCGGGUUGGUGAUCAGUGAGUGGUGGACGGUGCUAAUUAUGAUUGGUUUGCAUGCGUGGGUAUCGUUAGGUCUUCUGCCAUUCCCGCGAAGCCCCGUUUAUUAUCUGCACUGCAGAGUUGGGAGUUCAGAAUAACAGAUGUGCGUGUGUGUGUCGCUGUGUCAGGCGAGUGUGAGGGUGUGUUGGUGUGUUGCUUUAUCAAGAUUUUGUAAUUUCAGUGUGUGUUUUGUAUAAGAAGUUAUUAUGAAUCAAGUAAUUUAACCAAGUCGAUUUGUCAGCCGAACAACUGCAGCUGUUCGAGACGAUUGGCAUGAUAAAGAUAGUGUGAUUUUACUUCAACUCAAUUUUCAGAUCCGUGAACUGAAACUGAAG